AACAGGCCCGUCACUCUCUCACCCAUCCUUUGAGAUACCCAGCUCCCUUCACUGCUCCGAGAGACAAUUCCUGGGAAUUCUCCAGUGUUACUACUCCAUGUUUUUGAAGUUAAUUUAGCACAUCCAUCUUCCUACUGUGGGACCAAGGACUGGAAGACCAGCCUUCCCUACGAAGAGGAAGGAGCAUGGCGGGCAGGACUUCCUAACUGUCUAGGAGACCCUCUGUUCUCAGUGGGGGCUCACAUGCAGUUCCCAGGGCUCUGCCUUAAUCACCUGGGCCGGAAUCUGUUUGUGGAGGCACAGCCGGGACAACACAAAUGAACCCGCAGAUGCCCGGCACAGACCUAUGAUCAUGUGACUUUCCCACAAGUCAAGGAAUAUAAGCAGCCCCAAAGCUGUUAAAGGUGCAGAAGGUUGAAGCUGUCGGGAAACAUCUGUUCAAUAGGAAAAGGACCUCUUCCUCUUGGCAGGAGCCAUUGUGCACCCGUCACCCAGAGCCCGCCUCCCGGCACCUGGCUGCCCACCCACCUUCAUCAGAAUCCACCAUCACCUGUCUCCAUCUCCGCCAAGCUCUCACCGGUGGUUCUCAGUUCCCAAGCUAGCUUUUCUGGGCAGGCUGGCCAUUCUCCCUUCCUCAGCGUGACUUAUUCACUGGGAACCGGUCCAGGGUUUUAUUGCAUAGCCCUGGGUGUCCUGGAACUCACUCUGAAGAGCAGGCUGGCCUUGAAUUCUGUCUUCUAAGUGCUGGGAUAAAAGGUAUGCACCACCACCGCCUGGCUUCUUCCUUCCUUCCUUCCUCCCUCUCCCACCUUACACCCAAAGGUCUCACUGUAGCCCUGGUGGCUAUCGCCAAAGACACUCUGAAGGCCUGUUUGGUUUUUUUGUUUGUUUAUUUGUUUUGUUUUUGUUUUUUUCCUCUGCUUUCUGAAUUCUGAAAUUAAGAUGUUCAUUACUAUCCCUAGCUGGAGUUUAGUUGAGAUUGGUUGACCUACCCUAACUGUGGGUGUCACCUUUCCAUGGGCUGGGAGGCCCAGAUUGAAUAUCAAGGAGGACUGGAAGUGAGUAUGAGCUCUCAUCUCUCUGCUUCUUGGCUGCUGAUGCAAUGUGGGUGGAUGCGUUAAGUACCCACUGCUCUACCUUCCCCACCAUAAUGCACUGCAUUAUGAAACUAUGAGCCCAAAUAAACCCACCCUGUGUCACGGCUGUCAGCCAUUUUGAAAUCACAAUGGGAAGAGUAGCCAAUGCAUGCAGGAAUCCUGAUAAAUCUGAAUCUGUACAGCUUCCACUAAAACAGGGAAAGAUGUCCAUUUACACAGUGGUAUCUGGCAGUUCCUCACUGAAGAGAAUUCAGCUUUGACCAGGAAUCAAGAUUACAGUCAUCCACUUGAUAUGUGUGGUGACCAGACAGGCUCUCAGCGACGAGCCUUGGCUCUCUACUGUUCCAUGUUUUUCCUCCACUCACCAUAUUUCUGGUGGCAAACCCCAGAAGGCCCUAAAGAUGGUCACACAUUACAUAUCCAUGUCCUCCUUCCUAUAAGCCACCGCAGCAGCCAGCCUACCUACAGACUUAAGAAAGCAGCUGGAAAUGCUCUAAGUACAAGCGUGUGCCCUCCACUCACUCCUACCAGCCCAGUGGAAAUGAACAGCGAAUGCCCUGGUUGCAAUCACCUUAGUCAAUGCAUUGUCUACAGAGUUUACUGGACUGUAGCAGCGUGGUGCUCAUGGAGGGCCUCUGUGGGACAUGGGGAUGGAGGCCUUGGAAGCUUUAGCUUCUCCACACUUAGGACAACUCAUUCCUGUGGGCUGUCUCCCCAUGGCCAGGGUCAGGCCCUCACUCAAAAGCUGUUUUGUCUGUCUAUCUAUGUCCGGAUGACUUUGGUUUACAGGGGCAGAAACUCACAAGAACAAGGAAGGAUAGACUCGUUCCCUCAGUGCAGAGUCACGGACAGUGGGGAAACAGUGCAAGGCCUCUUUGUCUCUUUGCUUCCCCUCAGUUCUCAUCUCUACAAGUGCAGACAGAACUUCUACCUUCCAGAAGGCUAGCCCUCUGCCCCUCUGGACCCAGAGCCUGUUUUGUGGGCACUGUAGGGGGCUGGUGUGGGCCAUGGGACCACUCUAGUGAAGUGUUCUGAUGGACAGUUCCCACUAGAUCUUCAAGGUGGGAGUAGGCAUGAAGGACAGGGGUUGUGGUAGACAGAACAGUGCCCGCCUGUGUCCAUGUCUAUCUUAGACAUUGUUCUAAGCACUCAAGUCUAUGAGCCUAUGAGGUCCAUUCUUAUGCAAGCCCUCACAUUCCUCUCCCUGCCCCCAUAGGCUUGUAGCCAAAUCAUAAUGCAAAAAGUGCAUUCAGUCUAACUUCACAAGUCUCUACAGUCUACCACAGACUGAACAACUGUUUAAAAGUCCAAAGUUCAAAAAUCUCUUCUGAGACUCAUGGCAAUCUCUUAACUAUAACCCCCUGGAAACUCAAACUUUAAAAAUAAGAUCACAUACUUCCAACAUAUGAUGGCACAGAAUAUACACUGUCAUUCCUAAAGGGAGGAAUAGUGAAGAGGUACUAGACCAGGGCAAGACAGAAGAUAUCAGGGCAGACUCCAGAUGCAGUAUCUUCAUGUCUGAUGUCAAAGCUCUUAAGUCUCCAACUCAUUUCAGCUCUACUGACUGCAACACAUAUCUCUGUCUUGGUUCUACACCCAGUUAGCAGCUUUCCUUGGCAGAUAUCACAUGACUCUGGCAUCACCAACAUCUUGGGGUCUCCAACACCAUCUAGGUUUUAUGUUCACAGCUUCACAAGAUGAUCUCUUUGGGUUUCCAUGCAAGGACACAGGCCUGACCUUAGUGGUUUUCCUUAGUUGCAGAGAAAGAUUUUACAUGUUCUUGUUUCCUUGACUCUAAAGUCGGAACCCCUUGGCUGAGACUGCCAACAUCUAUUACUUGAUGGGGCCAGGACUUGGCCCUCUCCUUCAAUUAUAUAUGCCUCAGCUUUCUGCUAUUGAUGGUUUCCUUCACUGUUUAAGCUUUUCUUUAAUUCCUUUUCACAGGUUGGAAGCAGAGCUAGAUGGGGUCUUGGUGUGAGGUCACCACUCUCUUUAUUCCAUUUAGCACCAGGCUGUCCUUUAAACAUUUUAUUUCCUUGAACACAGGAAUUGGUUCCGACAAAGCAUUUCCUGGUGUUCCUUUUUCUCUUCAAACUAUGCAUUUUGCAUUUUUCCUUGCUCAGCUUGUUCCUUUUCAUAGUAGGUCAGCAUAAGAGGGACCAUUAAAAACCACAUGACACAGUCAACAUUAGGCUGUCUUGAAGUCUCCUUUGCCAACACUAUUAAUCUAAAACUCUUCAAUUUAGCCUCAGGUAGAUUUUUAGGACAAGAGCAAAAAAAAAAAAAAGCCACUUUUUUUUUUUUUUUUUGCUAAAAUAUCACAAGAAUCGUCACUGUUCUAUUGCUAUGAGGAGACACCAUGACCAAGGCAACUCUUAUAGGGAGGGGGAGGGAGACAUGGAGACAUGGAGACAGGGAGACAGGGAGAGGAGAGAUUGGACCUCCAGUGGCAUGAUUCCUCCAACAAGGCCAUGCCCACUCCAACAUGGCCAUACUUCCUAAUCUUCCCCAUUCAUUGUCCAUCCAAGUUCCAUUUCCUGAUGUCUAAGCAUCCAAAUAUAUUAGUCUAUGGGGGCCAUUAUUAUGCAAACCACCACAGUGUCCUACUCUGUAGGGGUUGAUGCCGAUGCUAAGGUCCUGUUCCCCAGUUGGUUCUUUAUCUGUCAGUAAUGAAAGCCAUAGGCCAAUUGCUGGAUGGAAGGUACAGGAGGAACUUCCAGGUCCCUGGAGGCAGGGAGACACAAAGAAGGAGAAUGGAGUUCAUCUUGCUUUGGAGAAAAGUGAACCAGGCAACCAUAUGAGAUCUCAAAACAGAGUAGCCACACAGGCUGGUCCAAAGGCAAGUAAGUGGUCAGUGGAGUUUAGCAACCAAGGUUUAGGGCAGAUGUGAGAAGCUGAGAUAAGAAAUUGGUAGGGGCACACUUUUCUAGGUGGUAGAUAGUAGUGCCCAGCACUUGUGUCCUAAGGCAAGUUCAAAAGAAACAACUGUGUGUGUCUGUGUCUUUUAUCCAAGGAUUCAAGGGAAGCUGGGAGGGGGCUAGUAUUGUGGCCACUCUUGGGGUCAAAGGAGGAUAGAGCAUAAAACUACAUGCAACACUAUUCUAUGACCUGUAUUAGUUAUCUUACAUGGCCAGAGGGCUUUACAAAUGUGGUAAAGAAUCUUAGUGUGGGAAGAGCUUCAGGGAAAUCUGGGAGGACCAAUGGGACAGGGAAGAAGAAGUGGAGGAGGAGGAGAUGUGAUUGGAGCAGAAUUCAGACUCAUGGGGAUUGCAAACCACAGAAAGCUAUGGAGCUUCUAGAAGCUAACAGGGGUAGAAGACUAGCCCCUCUACUCUAGCCCCAUCCCUGCCCAUACUUGAUUUGAGUGCUCUUCUGGGAAAAAAAAUGUAACUUCUAUAUUUCAACUAACAUUUGUGACAAUUUGUAAUGUUAGCAACAUAACAGGUACUGAGAAGCUAAACUCCAAGGCCACUGUGUCUCUCCCAUCCCUCCUUCCUGUUCUUUCCAUCUGCUGUGGAAUGAAUCUUUUCAACAGUUCUCAUGCGGAAGCCUCAAGCAUCUGGAGACAGCAUCAUGCCAGACAGUUAAGGUACUAGGUCCUGUGGGCGGGCUCUAAUCCAACAUGACUGACAUCCCGCAAGUAAAGAACACUACGCCACAGGAUCAAGUUACAGAGCAAGAUGGUGAGAGGACAACACGAAAGAGAACCUCUACAGGCCCAGCAGCCAGGCCUCAGAAGAUAGCCCUGCAGAGAUCUCCAUGUUGGGCUUGUAGCCUCCUGAAGUAUGAGGGAGCCAACUUAUAUGACUUAUAUUGAUGAAGCUCAAGUCUGAUUGAUGUAUCAGAUUUCAAGCAGAGGUGAAACUCUACCUCCCUUUCCAAAAUGCCUGAUUGGACCAGCUCACAGCACAACCCUUGUCUGGGAAUACCUCCCAGCUGAGUUGUUUAGCCAGGACCACAAGCCUAGUGCCUACAGGGCCAGGCAGGGAAUAGGUUAGUGUGAGGAAUGGUGUUUGUGGGUUAAAUCUAAGCAGCCUCCCUUACCUUGUGCUGGCUGCCAGUGUUCCUGUUGGUGUCUAUCUUUCUCCGAGUUCAUGAAGGGUAGGUAUAUGAAACAGCUCUCUUUCUUCCUGACUGUGCUACGGAAAGCAACAACCUUGGCGGGAGAGGCAUUGCCUUGGCCCUGUGUGCAAGAGCCCAUGCAGAGAGACAGUGAGGUGAGCUGGCUAUGCAGACCCUGUCCCUGCCAGGGGCACAGCUGCUGCUUGGCUCCAGACACUUGUCACCAGAGGCAAGUGCAGGCUGAGGCCCGCCAGAGUCUUACAGUCUCUCAAAUGAAGUGGGAAUGUGGAUUAGAAACAAGAAGACCUUAAACAUUAGCAACUAUAUAAAAAAUUUUUUUAAAGCAAUUGCUGGCCACUUUGUACCUAUUAUGAUGGCUACCAUCAAAAAAUGAAAAGAAGUAGAAGCUGGAACGUGCUGGCAAGGGUGAGGGGAAAUUGGAAUCCUGCGCUCGGCUGGUGGGAAUAUAACAGGAGGCAAGCCAAUCUGAGAAACUGCGUGCCAGAUUCUCCAAAGACUAAGAAGAAUGGAGUGUGACUUAGCGACUUCAGCUCUGGGGAUGGAGCCCCGUGUUUCUGAAAGCAGCGAGGAUUUAUUUGCAUGCCUGUGUUCAUAACAGGAUUAGUCACAGGAGGUGUAAAUACAGAAGCAGCCCCCAUCUCUACUGCCAGACAAACAGGUAACAAGGUGUGGUGUACGUUUGCAAAAUAGUAUUACUUAGCCUUAAACGGGAUUAAAAUGUGGAUACAGCCUUCGACACGGAUGAGCUUAGAGGACUGCUCAGUGAGGUGUCAAUCACAGAAGGCUACGUACUGUGUGUAUGAUGUUCUUAGGGUAAUCAUGGUCACAGAGAUAGUUGAAUGAUGGUGGCCAGGGCGAGAGGGCAAUGACAGACAGCUACUACUGAGUGGAGGUGGGGUUUUGGUUCUGCAGGAUGGGAAUGGGAGGUAGAGAUGGUUGCCUAGCAACAUGGAUGUACAGAAAGCCACUGGACUCUACACCUUAAGAUGGCCAGUUACUAAAUCUUAUGUUAUAACACAUAAGACAAUUUGAAAGACAAUGCUUGUGCUGGCCAAGAUGCCCUUAAGGGCUUACACCAUCAUGGGCCCCAGUUUGUACCCCAUGUUUCACACACACACACACACACACACACACACACACACACACACACACACACAGUAGUUUAACUACUUUCUAGCUUCUUCAUGUGUUAGUGUCUUAUGCAGCCAAUUAGAAGAUAAAAUCUUCAUGAAUGUGGGAGCUGUGUCUUAAAGUUCUUCAGUGUUCUUCAGAAAAGUCACUCGGAGCAGGUCACAGACAGCUUUCCAAAUAUUAGCUCACACACAUAUCCAUGCACACACACACAUACACAUAAACACACACAUACAUGUACUCACUAACCCAUACUCAGUCACCAAAUCCACAUACAAGCACACACAUUUGUGUACAUGCACACAUAGAGACAGGCACACACAGACACACAUAGACAUACACACAGACCUGCACAGACAUACAUACACACUGACACACAUAGACACACACACACAAUCACACAUGCAUGCUCACUAACCCAUACUCACUCACAUGCACAUACAACCACACACAUUUACAUAUAUGCACAUAGACAUACACAGAUACAUACAUACUCACGCUCACAAACCCACAGACACACGUGCAAACACACACAGAUAUACAAGCUUACACACACAGAUACAUACUUACACACAGACACACACUCACAGACACACAGAUAUAUACAUACAGACAUACACACAAAGACACACACACACACACACACACACACCCCUAUGUGUUAGAAAGGACCAUGAAAUCCUCAGAGUCUCAGCUCUGAGAGGAGAUACCAUGUAGUUUCAGGCAGGACACUGGAAACUCAGAGAAUUCAUCCUGGCAAGAAUGAGGAGUCAUGCUCAGAGAGCAGAGUGGGAAAGGGGCCCAUGAGAUGGGGUUUCACAUUUGUCCAGGGUAAUGAGCGGUGCUGAGCAUGCUCACACAGAGAGUGUCAGGACUGGAUUCGAUCUCGAGAUAAAUCAUUGAAAACUGGCACCCAAGAGCUGAGGGGAGGGCUCACAAUAAAGUGCCUGCCAGGCGAGUGUGAACACUUGAGUUUCAUCCCCAGCACCCACGUCAAAUACAUAAACAAACAAACAGCUCAGCAGGGCAUGCUUGGUGAGUGGAGACAGGACUUCUCAGGGCUCUCUGGCCACAUGAUCCAGCUGAAUUGGCAAAAUCAAGGUUCACUGAGAGUCUGUCUCUAAAGAAUAAGGUAGAGAGUAUAGAAGGAGAUAACCCAAUAUUGACUUCUGAACUCUACAUACAUGUAUGUAUACAUGUGUGCAUGUGUGGGUACUCAUGCACAAGAGCAUGUGUGCACACACACAUGCAUGCAUGCACAUAUACACACUCAUAAAAGAAAGGAAAAAAAAGAGAAAAGAAAAAGAAAUCCUGGAAAGUGACAGGGGCUACUGAUAAGACCCUGGAGAAGGCAGAAGGCCCUUUGCACAGCCCUACAGGGUUCCCAUGCCUCUGUCUGGACACUGAGGAGCUUAGGAUGAGAGCAGGAGCUGCUGUAGCCUUGGAGGGUUCAGGGAGGGAUGGGAUGCUGUGGCCCGUCAGAGCAGGUGGCCGGGAAUCUGCUUCAUUGUGGUGCGUACACACCCUGAGAAUGGGGGCAAAUCUUAGCUGCACCCAGUCAAGCUGACUGACCACAGGGCCAGCCUGGGUCCCUUGGCCCUUUCUCUAACCAUUUCCAGGUUACCAUCAGCCAAUGGAGGCCUGGCUGAGGUCCCAUCAUCAAACCCACUGUGCUCUCUGGAGCCGCCUGGAGGAAAUAUCUAGAACUUCAGCUUGAACGAUUCCAGACAAGGUACCAAGUACUCAGUAACCCAUGGCAACCCCUAGAGGCUGCUAGAGCCUCAGCAAUGAGGAGCUGUAUCCCAAGGAACCUGCCAGUUCCCCUGAGAUGGCCCAAGCUUGGUGAUCUUAGGAUGACCUUCAACAGUCUACAUGCCACGGGAGGCUCGUGACAACAGUGUCAGAAGGGGACAGUGUCUACCCCUCUCACACUUCCCAUGGUGAGAGCCAUGGUAGAAGGAAUGGUACGAACAAAGGCGUAACUUCUCCAGUAGCCAACGGCUGUGGAGAUCCCUCCAUGUGCUUACGUAGUAUACCCAGUUUUUAGCAUGGAGUCCCUAAACUGCAAGUUCAGAAGUCACUAACCAGCUGUGAUGGGUAAAGUCUCUUCAGGCCUGGACAAUACUAUCAGUAGGUCUCCCUUGGGGCAGCUUGGGUAAAGGUAGAGGGAAGAAUGUCUUUUGGUUACCUCGUGGUUAUUAAUCUGGGAGAUUCUGGGUGGUUGGUUCCAGGGUUUUGUACUUGAUGAUAGCGGCUCAAUUCUUUUUUCUAAACCUUGAUCAUUGGUAAAGACACCAGGAUCCUAUAGGGCUGCCACCAGUUGGACUCAAAUCAGUCUAUACUUCUUAACAUAGGUGGGGCACUUUCAAAGGACCCUGUCACUUACAUGAACCUCCAGGACCUCUAGCCUCUUCCUUGUCUAAACCUUGGCUUUCUGCCUCCUUUGUAAGUGGCUAGCAGUCAGACACUGGAAACAGACAGCUUUAGCCAAGCCCUUGUGAGCUUCUUAGCUCCAUUAUCAUACCUACACCCUGGACUUUGAACCUCAGCAAGUGGAGUUCAUCAUGUUUCUUAGGAGAUAGGGCAACCAAUUAAGGGUUCCACGGGUCUUGAGUAGGGCUCCUAGUGGGUCUCUGAAGGUAGGGAUGGGUGGAAUGGAGGCCAUAAGACACCAGUUAACUAACUGACUCUGGAUGCCAAAGUUUUUAAGUUCAGACUCCAUUUUAGAGAGCCUGGCCUAAGUUUGAACUCCACUGGUCUCCAAGUUGCCCCCGCAACAAAACCUGGGCCUAGCUUCAGUCUCUAGGCUAAUCCCCAACAAGACCAGCGUUUCCAGGUUACACUUUCAACAAGACCAGUAUCUCCAGGUUGUUCCCUCAACAAACCUGCAUGCCCAGGUUACAAGUCCACUCCUUGCCUAACGAUCACCAAUGCAGAGGGGAACAGAAGUUAAGUUUAUGAUAUGACUCCCAGCACCAGCCAAUUAUGUUAAAGGCCACAGGAGCUUUCCAAUUUGAUGCUUGCACACAUCUUCCCUGCUUGUGUUUACUAUAAAGCCUUGCCCCGAUAGACAUUUGGGGCUUCCCCACCACCAGAACUGCCAUGCGUGUCGGUAGUGAGCUGAGGGGCCUGAGCUAGCUUGAAUAGAGUAAAGACCCUGCUGUAAGUUGCAUCCAAUCAUCUCCUGUCUGUUUUUUGGGGGGGAUUACUAAUAUUUCCCUGGCACAACACCUCCAGGAGAGAAAGAAGGACCCUCGUCCCCGAGCCUCAUGCAUGGUCUUUAUAUUUUACUUGUGAGCUAGCAUUUAACCAUCUAUUCUCUGAGUCCUGCUUACAUUCUAACUCUCACUCUCAGGGUCAAAGCAGUGCGUACUGGGGAAACUGGACAUCUGUUCCCCUUAUCCACCCCACAGAGCCCUUCCUCCCUCAUCGUUACUCAAAACAAGCAACGAAGCUACAGGGACCUGUGAGAGAAAGACAGAAGCAUGUUGUCCUCUGAGAGGCUCCACCCAGCAGC
Long non-coding RNA from Mus musculus (house mouse), 9828 nucleotides. RefSeq annotates it as predicted gene, 32898. Lineage: Eukaryota; Metazoa; Chordata; Mammalia; Rodentia; Muridae. The transcript is spliced from 5 exons. The record is from RefSeq and is a predicted model, not a curated record.